Molecule: non-coding RNA, 352 nt
Organism: Pelobates cultripes (western spadefoot toad)
Lineage: Eukaryota; Metazoa; Chordata; Amphibia; Anura; Pelobatidae
Source: the annotation of a GenBank genome assembly
CUGGAGCCAGACAGGACCACAGGAGGACAAGAAGAACUUCUCCAAAGCAGAAUCUCAUGGUGGCAUGUACAGGCAUCUCCUGCUUGUGGUCUUCACCUGGAGACUGGACCCCAGCACUACCCUGCAAGUCCUCUCAGACUCCUGGUCUCAGCCUGCUGGUCUCAUCUCACACAUGCCCCUGGGAGAGCUGUGGACCCUGGAUGUCCUGCUGGAAGGCUCUGUGCCUGCUGGAAGCUCUGGCUGGUAUGUGAGCUGUGUCUGCUCCUGGCAGGGAGGGGGCAGUACACUCCUCCUAUCAGACCUGCCCACCCCAGGCACUGAGUGAGGGGAGAGGUGGGCACCCAGGACUCAC